Molecule: ribosomal RNA, 358 nt
Filed under: uncultured soil bacterium
Lineage: Bacteria
Description: bacterial SSU rRNA
Rfam family: Bacterial small subunit ribosomal RNA
Source: RNAcentral
AGGACGAACGCUGGCGGCGUGCUUAACACAUGCAAGUCGAGCGGAGAGGCCCUUCGGGGUACUCGAGCGGCGAACGGGUGAGUAACACGUGAGUAAUCUGCCCAUCGCUUCAGGAUAGCCAUCGGAAACGGUGAUUAAUACUGGAUAUGACAUUCCUUCGCAUGUUGGGGUGUGGAAAGUUUUUUCGGCGGUGGAUGUGCUCGCGGCCUAUCAGCUUGUUGGUGGGGUAAUGGCCUACCAAGGUCUUUGGACGGGUAGCCGGCCUGAGAGGGUGACCGGCCACACUGGGACUGAGACACGGCCCAGACUACCGUACGGGAGGCAGCGAGUGGGGAAUAGUUGGACAAGUGGGACGGAA